RNAcentral lists this ribosomal RNA (2903 nucleotides) under Escherichia coli KTE80. Its description in RNAcentral is "bacterial LSU rRNA". It matches the Rfam family "Bacterial large subunit ribosomal RNA". Lineage: Bacteria; Pseudomonadati; Pseudomonadota; Gammaproteobacteria; Enterobacterales; Enterobacteriaceae. The record is from RNAcentral.
UUAAGCGACUAAGCGUACACGGUGGAUGCCCUGGCAGUCAGAGGCGAUGAAGGACGUGCUAAUCUGCGAUAAGCGUCGGUAAGGUGAUAUGAACCGUUAUAACCGGCGAUUUCCGAAUGGGGAAACCCAGUGUGAUUCGUCACACUAUCAUUAACUGAAUCCAUAGGUUAAUGAGGCGAACCGGGGGAACUGAAACAUCUAAGUACCCCGAGGAAAAGAAAUCAACCGAGAUUCCCCCAGUAGCGGCGAGCGAACGGGGAGCAGCCCAGAGCCUGAAUCAGUGUGUGUGUUAGUGGAAGCGUCUGGAAAGGCGCGCGAUACAGGGUGACAGCCCCGUACACAAAAAUGCACAUACUGUGAGCUCGAUGAGUAGGGCGGGACACGUGGUAUCCUGUCUGAAUAUGGGGGGACCAUCCUCCAAGGCUAAAUACUCCUGACUGACCGAUAGUGAACCAGUACCGUGAGGGAAAGGCGAAAAGAACCCCGGCGAGGGGAGUGAAAAAGAACCUGAAACCGUGUACGUACAAGCAGUGGGAGCCUCUUAAUGGGGUGACUGCGUACCUUUUGUAUAAUGGGUCAGCGACUUAUAUUCUGUAGCAAGGUUAACCGAAUAGGGGAGCCGAAGGGAAACCGAGUCUUAACUGGGCGUUAAGUUGCAGGGUAUAGACCCGAAACCCGGUGAUCUAGCCAUGGGCAGGUUGAAGGUUGGGUAACACUAACUGGAGGACCGAACCGACUAAUGUUGAAAAAUUAGCGGAUGACUUGUGGCUGGGGGGGAAAGGCCAAUCAAACCGGGAGAUAGCUGGUUCUCCCCGAAAGCUAUUUAGGUAGCGCCUCGUGAAUUCAUCUCCGGGGGUAGAGCACUGUUUCGGCAAGGGGGUCAUCCCGACUUACCAACCCGAUGCAAACUGCGAAUACCGGAGAAUGUUAUCACGGGAGACACACGGCGGGUGCUAACGUCCGUCGUGAAGAGGGAAACAACCCAGACCGCCAGCUAAGGUCCCAAAGUCAUGGUUAAGUGGGAAACGAUGUGGGAAGGCCCAGACAGCCAGGAUGUUGGCUUAGAAGCAGCCAUCAUUUAAAGAAAGCGUAAUAGCUCACUGGUCGAGUCGGCCUGCGCGGAAGAUGUAACGGGGCUAAACCAUGCACCGAAGCUGCGGCAGCGACGCUUAUGCGUUGUUGGGUAGGGGAGCGUUCUGUAAGCCUGCGAAGGUGUACUGUGAGGUAUGCUGGAGGUAUCAGAAGUGCGAAUGCUGACAUAAGUAACGAUAAAGCGGGUGAAAAGCCCGCUCGCCGGAAGACCAAGGGUUCCUGUCCAACGUUAAUCGGGGCAGGGUGAGUCGACCCCUAAGGCGAGGCCGAAAGGCGUAGUCGAUGGGAAACAGGUUAAUAUUCCUGUACUUGGUGUUACUGCGAAGGGGGGACGGAGAAGGCUAUGUUGGCCGGGCGACGGUUGUCCCGGUUUAAGCGUGUAGGCUGGUUUUCCAGGCAAAUCCGGAAAAUCAAGGCUGAGGCGUGAUGACGAGGCACUACGGUGCUGAAGCAACAAAUGCCCUGCUUCCAGGAAAAGCCUCUAAGCAUCAGGUAACAUCAAAUCGUACCCCAAACCGACACAGGUGGUCAGGUAGAGAAUACCAAGGCGCUUGAGAGAACUCGGGUGAAGGAACUAGGCAAAAUGGUGCCGUAACUUCGGGAGAAGGCACGCUGAUAUGUAGGUGAAGUCCCUUGCGGAUGGAGCUGAAAUCAGUCGAAGAUACCAGCUGGCUGCAACUGUUUAUUAAAAACACAGCACUGUGCAAACACGAAAGUGGACGUAUACGGUGUGACGCCUGCCCGGUGCCGGAAGGUUAAUUGAUGGGGUUAGCGGUAACGCGAAGCUCUUGAUCGAAGCCCCGGUAAACGGCGGCCGUAACUAUAACGGUCCUAAGGUAGCGAAAUUCCUUGUCGGGUAAGUUCCGACCUGCACGAAUGGCGUAAUGAUGGCCAGGCUGUCUCCACCCGAGACUCAGUGAAAUUGAACUCGCUGUGAAGAUGCAGUGUACCCGCGGCAAGACGGAAAGACCCCGUGAACCUUUACUAUAGCUUGACACUGAACAUUGAGCCUUGAUGUGUAGGAUAGGUGGGAGGCUUUGAAGUGUGGACGCCAGUCUGCAUGGAGCCGACCUUGAAAUACCACCCUUUAAUGUUUGAUGUUCUAACGUUGGCCCCUAAUCGGGGUUGCGGACAGUGUCUGGUGGGUAGUUUGACUGGGGCGGUCUCCUCCUAAAGAGUAACGGAGGAGCACGAAGGUUGGCUAAUCCUGGUCGGACAUCAGGAGGUUAGUGCAAUGGCAUAAGCCAGCUUGACUGCGAGCGUGACGGCGCGAGCAGGUGCGAAAGCAGGUCAUAGUGAUCCGGUGGUUCUGAAUGGAAGGGCCAUCGCUCAACGGAUAAAAGGUACUCCGGGGAUAACAGGCUGAUACCGCCCAAGAGUUCAUAUCGACGGCGGUGUUUGGCACCUCGAUGUCGGCUCAUCACAUCCUGGGGCUGAAGUAGGUCCCAAGGGUAUGGCUGUUCGCCAUUUAAAGUGGUACGCGAGCUGGGUUUAGAACGUCGUGAGACAGUUCGGUCCCUAUCUGCCGUGGGCGCUGGAGAACUGAGGGGGGCUGCUCCUAGUACGAGAGGACCGGAGUGGACGCAUCACUGGUGUUCGGGUUGUCAUGCCAAUGGCACUGCCCGGUAGCUAAAUGCGGAAGAGAUAAGUGCUGAAAGCAUCUAAGCACGAAACUUGCCCCGAGAUGAGUUCUCCCUGACUCCCUGAGAGUCCUGAAGGAACGUUGAAGACGACGACGUUGAUAGGCCGGGUGUGUAAGCGCAGCGAUGCGUUGAGCUAACCGGUACUAAUGAACCGUGAGGCUUAACCUU